Molecule: long non-coding RNA, 896 nt
Organism: Leptopilina boulardi
Lineage: Eukaryota; Metazoa; Arthropoda; Insecta; Hymenoptera; Figitidae
Exons: 3
Source: RefSeq, a predicted model, not a curated record
AACAAUGAAUAAUUAAUUCACUAUAGAAAAAAUUAGUUUCAUGUGAAUUUAUUAGUAACUAAAUCUUUUAACUGUACUUUGUAAAGUAGAGUAACGUGUUUGAGAAAAUUGGUAAUAUGGUUAACAUGAUCUUUUUGAAACACUUUUUGAAUCUUCUGUCGUCGAGAAAUUUGAAUGAAAAUUAAAAAUAAAUCAACGAGAUAGGUCAUCGUGGAUAUCACCUGCGAUUCUUGUUCCAAACUUUAUUUCUUAAGUCUUUUUCUUCUUGUUGAUUCUUAAUUUUUUGAAACUCAACUAUUAGAUUUUAAUUAAUAACUAAAAUUGAAGGCACUAUUCUAAUAUUAGUUUGGAUAAAUUUUCAAAUUACUUUACUUGUUAUAAGUUUGGUACACAAAUGUUUGUGCUUUUGAAAAAGAAUUUUACACAGACCACGACCUGGGUCAAGGGAGCCGCCCGAAACAGGGAUGAAAUAAUCCGCAUUGAGAAAACGAGAGAAACACGCAGGCUGAACAUGCGCACGUGAUUGCUCCUCUCCAAGUAUCAUUCGCAUAUAAAGGAUAAUUGCGUAUACGAUUCUGCAUCGCUUACACUUUUAUCGCAUAUUAUAUACUUUAAAAACAUAUAUAAAAUUUUUAUAGGAGCUAAACAAGUAACAAAGUUGAAGAACUUAGUUAUUGGCCUUGACUAGAACAUUAUAUUAAUCUGUAUAGUUGAAAAAAAUUUCACACAUAAUUAUGCGGAAAUAUUUCAGUGAAUGAGCUCACAUUACUAUUUCUUUCAUACACUGAAGUGAUGACGCAAAUCAUACAUGGAUGAGACUCUUACAAAACGCACAUACAACAACACAGUAGUGUUUAUACGACUGAUGGGAUAAUGGAUCAAGAAGUUCACUGUAA